This 253-nucleotide ribosomal RNA is filed under the name uncultured bacterium. Its description in RNAcentral is "partial 16S ribosomal RNA". It matches the Rfam family "Bacterial small subunit ribosomal RNA", at positions 524 to 776 of the family's 1533-position model. The record is from RNAcentral.
UAUGUAGGGUGCGAGCGUUAAUCGGAAUUACUGGGCGUAAAGCGUGCGCAGGCGGUUAUGCAAGACAGAUGUGAAAUCCCCGGGCUCAACCUGGGAACUGCAUUUGUGACUGCAUAGCUGGAGUGCGGCAGAGGGGGAUGGAAUUCCGCGUGUAGCAGUGAAAUGCGUAGAUAUGUGGAGGAACACCAAUGGCGAAGGCAGCCCCCUGGGAUAACACUGACGCUCAUGUACGAAAGCGUGGGUAGCAAACAGG